GAAACUCCAAAUUUAUUUCAUAAUCGACCUCGGAUCAGGUAGGGAUACCCGCUGAACUUAAGCAUAUCAAUAAGCGGAGGAAAAGAAACCAACAGGGAUUGCCUCAGUAACGGCGAGUGAAGCGGAAAGCCUUCAAUUGAAA
Molecule: ribosomal RNA, 142 nt
Filed under: Dolichousnea longissima
Lineage: Eukaryota; Fungi; Ascomycota; Lecanoromycetes; Lecanorales; Parmeliaceae
Description: partial 28S ribosomal RNA
Rfam family: Eukaryotic large subunit ribosomal RNA (bases 25-142)
Source: RNAcentral